Molecule: ribosomal RNA, 2132 nt
Filed under: Vibrio parahaemolyticus
Lineage: Bacteria; Pseudomonadati; Pseudomonadota; Gammaproteobacteria; Vibrionales; Vibrionaceae
Description: bacterial LSU rRNA
Rfam family: Bacterial large subunit ribosomal RNA
Source: RNAcentral
GUUGUAUGGUUAAGUGACUAAGCGUACACGGUGGAUGCCUUGGCAGUCAGAGGCGAUGAAAGACGUAGUAACUUGCGAUAAGCCCAGAUUAGGUAGUAACAACCAUUUGAGUCUGGGAUUUCUGAAUGGGGAAACCCACGUGCAUAAGCACGUAUCCUUACCUGAAUACAUAGGGUAAGGAGGCGAACCGGGGGAACUGAAACAUCUAAGUACCCCGAGGAAAAGAAAUCAACCGAGAUUCCGAAAGUAGCGGCGAGCGAAAUUGGACUAGCCCUUAAGCUUUACACGCGUUAGACGAACGGUCUGGAAAGUCCGACGAUACAGGGUGAUAGUCCCGUAGUUGACGACGUGUGUUCAGUGAAAUCGAGUAGGGCGGGACACGUGAUAUCCUGUCUGAAUAUGGGGGGACCAUCCUCCAAGGCUAAAUACUACUGACUGACCGAUAGUGAACCAGUACCGUGAGGGAAAGGCGAAAAGAACCCCUGUGAGGGGAGUGAAAUAGAACCUGAAACCGUGUACGUACAAGCAGUAGGAGCAGGCUUUGUCCUGUGACUGCGUACCUUUUGUAUAAUGGGUCAGCGACUUAUAUUCAGUGGCAAGGUUAACCAUCUAGGGGAGCCGUAGGGAAACCGAGUCUUAACUGGGCGUUCAGUCUCUGGAUAUAGACCCGAAACCAGGUGAUCUAGCCAUGGGCAGGUUGAAGGUUGAGUAACAUCAACUGGAGGACCGAACCGACUAAUGUUGAAAAAUUAGCGGAUGACUUGUGGCUAGGGGUGAAAGGCCAAUCAAACCUGGAGAUAGCUGGUUCUCCCCGAAAGCUAUUUAGGUAGCGCCUCGGACGAAUACUACUGGGGGUAGAGCACUGUUAAGGCUAGGGGGUCAUCCCGACUUACCAACCCUUUGCAAACUCCGAAUACCAGUAAGUACUAUCCGGGAGACACACGGCGGGUGCUAACGUCCGUCGUGGAGAGGGAAACAACCCAGACCGCCAGCUAAGGUCCCAAAUUACUACUAAGUGGGAAACGAUGUGGGAAGGCUCAGACAGCCAGGAUGUUGGCUUAGAAGCAGCCAUCAUUUAAAGAAAGCGUAAUAGCUCACUGGUCGAGUCGGCCUGCGCGGAAGAUGUAACGGGGCUAAGUAGUAAACCGAAGCUGCGGCAAUAUACUUUUGUAUAUUGGGUAGGGGAGCGUUCUGUAAGCGGUUGAAGGUGUGUGGUAACGCAUGCUGGACGUAUCAGAAGUGCGAAUGCUGACAUGAGUAACGAUAAAGGGGGUGAAAAACCUCCUCGCCGGAAGACCAAGGGUUCCUGUCCAACGUUAAUCGGGGCAGGGUAAGUCGACCCCUAAGGCGAGGCCGAAAGGCGUAGUCGAUGGGAAACGGGUUAAUAUUCCCGUACUUCUUACAAUUGCGAUGGGGGGACGGAGAAGGCUAGGUGGGCCUGGCGACGGUUGUCCAGGUUCAAGUGCGUAGGCUGAGAGAUUAGGUAAAUCCGGUUUCUCUUAAGGCUGAGACACGACGUCGAGCACCUACGGGUGUGAAGUCAUUGAUGCCAUGCUUCCAGGAAAAGCCUCUAAGCUUCAGAUUGUAAGGAAUCGUACCCCAAACCGACACAGGUGGUCGGGUAGAGAAUACCAAGGCGCUUGAGAGAACUCGGGUGAAGGAACUAGGCAAAAUGGUACCGUAACUUCGGGAGAAGGUACGCUCUCGACGGUGAAGUCCCUUGCGGAUGGAGCUAUUGAGAGUCGCAGAUACCAGGUGGCUGCAACUGUUUAUUAAAAACACAGCACUGUGCAAAAUCGUAAGAUGACGUAUACGGUGUGACGCCUGCCCGGUGCCGGAAGGUUAAUUGAUGGGGUUAGACUUCGGUCGAAGCUCUUGAUCGAAGCCCCGGUAAACGGCGGCCGUAACUAUAACGGUCCUAAGGUAGCGAAAUUCCUUGUCGGGUAAGUUCCGACCUGCACGAAUGGCGUAAUGAUGGCCACGCUGUCUCCACCCGAGACUCAGUGAAAUUGAAAUCGCUGUGAAGAUGCAGUGUACCCGCGGCUAGACGGAAAGACCCCGUGAACCUUUACUACAGCUUGGCACUGAACAUUGACCCUACAUGUGUAGGAUAGGUGGGAGGCUUUGAAGCA